This 282-nucleotide ribosomal RNA is filed under the name uncultured bacterium. Its description in RNAcentral is "partial 16S ribosomal RNA". It matches the Rfam family "Bacterial small subunit ribosomal RNA", at positions 513 to 793 of the family's 1533-position model. The record is from RNAcentral.
AGCCGCGGUAAUACGGAGGGUGCGAGCGUUAAUCGGAAUUACUGGGCGUAAAGCGACAUGCAGGUGGUUUGUUAAGUCAGAUGUGAAAGCCCGGGGCUCAACCUCGGAAUUGCAUUUGAAACUGGCAAACUAGAGUACUGUAGAGGGGGUAGAAUUUCAGGUGUAGCGGUGAAAAUGCGUAGAGAUCUGAAGGAAUACCGGUGGCGAAGGCGGCCCCCUGGACAGAUACUGACACUCAGAUGCGAAAGCGUGGGGAGCAAACAGGAUUAGAUACCCUGGUAG